ACGUAUUUAUACGCAAAAGCGCCGAGAGAGAAACACCGUUGCCAAAUGGCCUCAUCGGAGAAGCGGUGCUUAUACGAAGUCCUCGGCCUCAGCCGUGACUGCUCCGCCGAUGAAAUCCGCUCCGCGUACCGGCGCCUCGCCCUCCAGCGCCAUCCGGACAAGCUCGUCAGGAGCGGCGUCUCCGAGGCCGACGCCACCGCCGCCUUCCAGGAGCUCGUCAACGCCUACGAGGUCCUCUCCGACGACCGCGAGCGCGCCUGGUACGAUUCCCACCGCAACCAGAUCCUAUUCUCCUCCACCUCCUCUUCUGCCAGCGGCGGCUCCUCAGGUUUCGUCCCCGAUUUGUUUUCCUUCUUCUCGAAUUCGGUCUACUCCGGAUACUCCGACUCCGGGAGGGGGUUUUACAAGGUUUACAGAGAUCUGUUUGAGAAGAUCUACGCGAAUGAGUUAAAUUUCGCGAAGAAAUUGGGGCUGCCUCUGCCAAGGGAAGCUCCGGUCAUGGGCAAUUUGGAGAGUCCUUAUGUUCAGGUCACAGCAUUUUAUAGUUACUGGUUAGGGUUUACAACAAUACUGGAAUUCUUCUGGGCAGAUCAAUAUGAUGCUAUGGCUGGCCCAAACAGGAAGUCAAGGAGGUUAAUGGAAGAGGAGAAUAAGAAGUUGAGGAAGAAGGCGAGACGAGAGUAUAACGAAACGGUUCGGGGAUUGGCUGAGUUUGUGAAGAAGAGGGAUAAGAGAGUGAUUGAUAUGCAAAUAAAGAGGAAUGAGGAGAUGGAGAGAAAGAGGGAGGAGGAGAAGCAGAGGAAGAAAGAGUUGGAGAGGCAGAAAGCUGAGAAGGCUAGGAAUUACGAGGAACCUGAGUGGGCUAAAGUAGAGGAGGUCGAGGAGGAGGAUGAGAGCGAAGAUGCCUUGGAGGAAAAGAAGAACGAAUUCUACUGUGUAGCUUGUAGCAAGAAGUUCAGGAGUGAUAAACAAUGGAAGAAUCACGAACAGUCUAAAAAGCACAAAGAGAAGGUGGCACAGCUGCGGGAAGCAUUCCUUGAAGAGGAUAUAGAAUGUGAAGCAGAAGUAGAUGCUGAUGACGGAAGUGACAUUUGUUACUUGUCAGCAGAUGAUGGAGUAAGUAAACUAGGGGAGCAAUUUGAAGCAGGGAUUGGUAUUCAAGAAGAUGAUAGUGAUGAUGGACAGAAUGAAUCCGGUGAAGCAGUGGAGUUUAAGGAUCCUAAAGAAUUCAGUGGAAGGAAUCGAGUUGCUGCAGGGACAGGGCCAGAUGUAGAGGAUGAUGACGACAGUGAUGAUGGUGAUGAGGCGAGUGUAUUUGAAGCUAUGUUAUCGGGGCAUACGACUUGGAACAAAGCAAGAAAUCAGCCUAGUGCUCCAGCUGCCAAAACUCAGAUGGAGUCUGAUGGCGAUGAAUUGGAUUUCACUGACUAUAAUGACACAAAGGGUGAGGAUCCUAAAGAUUUCAGUGGAGUAAAUGGAGUGGUCGAAGGGAUGGGGCCAGAUGAAGAGGAUGAUGAGGAUAAUGAUGAUGGUGAUGAGGCGAGUGUCUUUGAAGCUAUGUUGUCGGGGCGUAGGAGUAGGAACAAAGCAAGAAAUCAGCCUAUGGCUCCAGCUGCCAAAACUCAGACGGAGUCUGAUGGUGAUGAAUUGGGUUUCAUGGAGUAUAAUGACACAAAGGGCUCGCGAAGUAACAGGGGACGCAGGAGGCGGAGAGGGAGAAGACACGAAGAUGCAGAACCAGCAAAACCUAGCACUGCAGAGAGAAAUGGUAAGGCUGAGGAAGAUGAAGAGUGUGAUGGUGAUGCUACGGAAUUGAUAUCCGAACCUCUACCAGAAUCUGAGACUACUAGGACAGAAGAUGCUGUGAGGGAGAAGGUUCAUAAGCAUCAAGAGCAAGGUGCAAGCAAGAAAUUGCCAGCAAAGAAAGAAAAUGCUGCCAAGUCGAAAGCCUCAUCCAAAGGAAGAAAACAGAAGGUUUCAACAAGAGGUGCUGACAACAUGUGUGAGAAGUGUGGAGAAGAAUUUGAAUCCAAGAAUAAACUUCACAAACAUUUGGGAGAAACAGGUCAUGCCUCACUAAAGCGGUAACGGGGGAUCUAUUGUUAUCGAGCAGUAACAAAUGUGGGUGCUGAGUGUUACAAGAAAAGCCUAUGAAAAGUGAUAGUAUUUUUAAGAGUACAAUUUCGUAGGCGUACGUUCUCAACCACAUCGAAUCCUCCAUCCAACUCCCAAGGAUCCAAUGCUGCAUAUGUACAUACAUUAAAGUCAUCUUUGCUCCAAUAUAAAAAGGAAGUGGAUUAUCGUGACCUGAUAGCAUGACCGGGCCCACACGUGAUUCCACUGAUAUCAAUAUUGGAAGAUCCCGCAGUUAUAGCAAUGCAGUCAUCACCUACAAUAAUUGUACUCUUUAUCAAGAAUUAAACUUCAUUGUAUCAUUCUACUAAGAGAAUUAGGGGAAAUGAAUGAAUGAAUUAAUUAAUUAAGCACGUGUUGCAAUGAAAGAAAUUCUAAUUU
RNA transcript from Salvia splendens (bonfire salvia), 2514 nucleotides. It is a transcript of the gene named DNAJ protein JJJ1 homolog, with no coding region annotated. The transcript is spliced from 5 exons. Lineage: Eukaryota; Viridiplantae; Streptophyta; Magnoliopsida; Lamiales; Lamiaceae. The record is from RefSeq and is a predicted model, not a curated record.